AAAGACUGUGUUCUACAUGUUUCGUUCUUUCAACGCCGGCGCAGCUUGAGUGUUCCAAGGGAGUCAAUCAUCAAAAAGACCAAAGUCAACCUCAUUCUAUUUAGUGUCUUGCGUCUAGCCUUUUGAAACGAAAUGUUAGUCCAACGUUACAGUGUAGUUUUGGACUUAAAUCGUCAAGUUUGGUUACGAAAGUUCAACAUUACUGUAAUGGAAGCCUUGGAACAAGCAGCCACGUGGACUUAAAGAUUGGUCAAAUGACUAAAUUAUGAAUGUUGCAAGUCAGACUGGUUGACAUCCCCUUCUGCUCUUGUCCCAUACACCGCUGCUGAAUGUAUUCCACUUCUAGGAGUGUUUCAGACCUAGAUGGGCUCAGUCUGAGGUUUCCCGACAAAGUUUGGCCUUCCCUACUGUGAGACUGCUGCCCCUGCGACCCGAAUAAGUGGAAGAAGCUGGAUGGAUGGCUUCGGGAUCAGUCGUAUGCACCUAACAUUCACCAGAUUUGGAUCUGGCGGCUGCCUUUUUGAUGAGGAAGGAAAUGUUAAGAGCCAAGAUCGGUCUCCACUGUAUAUAUGUUACUGUGUUUUUAAAUAAAACUUGGGGAAAUUAAUGCUGCCCUUUCUAAUUUGCCUUUAUAAGUCACAUGGUCU
Molecule: long non-coding RNA, 647 nt
Organism: Dunckerocampus dactyliophorus (ringed pipefish)
Lineage: Eukaryota; Metazoa; Chordata; Actinopteri; Syngnathiformes; Syngnathidae
Exons: 5
Source: RefSeq, a predicted model, not a curated record